CUAUAAUGCAGUCGAGCGGACAGAAGGGAGCUUGCUCCCGGAUGUUAGCGGCGGACGGGUGAGUAACACGUGGGUAACCUGCCUGUAAGACUGGGAUAACUCCGGGAAACCGGAGCUAAUACCGGAUAGUUCCUUGAACCGCAUGGUUCAAGGAUGAAAGACGGUUUCGGCUGUCACUUACAGAUGGACCCGCGGCGCAUUAGCUAGUUGGUGGGGUAAUGGCUCACCAAGGCGACGAUGCGUAGCCGACCUGAGAGGGUGAUCGGCCACACUGGGACUGAGACACGGCCCAGACUCCUACGGGAGGCAGCAGUAGGGAAUCUUCCGCAAUGGACGAAAGUCUGACGGAGCAACGCCGCGUGAGUGAUGAAGGUUUUCGGAUCGUAAAGCUCUGUUGUUAGGGAAGAACAAGUGCGAGAGUAACUGCUCGCACCUUGACGGUACCUAACCAGAAAGCCACGGCUAACUACGUGCCAGCAGCCGCGGUAAUACGUAGGUGGCAAGCGUUGUCCGGAAUUAUUGGGCGUAAAGGGCUCGCAGGCGGUUUCUUAAGUCUGAUGUGAAAGCCCCCGGCUCAACCGGGGAGGGUCAUUGGAAACUGGGAAACUUGAGUGCAGAAGAGGAGAGUGGAAUUCCACGUGUAGCGGUGAAAUGCGUAGAGAUGUGGAGGAACACCAGUGGCGAAGGCGACUCUCUGGUCUGUAACUGACGCUGAGGAGCGAAAGCGUGGGGAGCGAACAGGAUUAGAUACCCUGGUAGUCCACGCCGUAAACGAUGAGUGCUAAGUGUUAGGGGGUUUCCGCCCCUUAGUGCUGCAGCUAACGCAUUAAGCACUCCGCCUGGGGAGUACGGUCGCAAGACUG
Molecule: ribosomal RNA, 863 nt
Filed under: Bacillus pumilus
Lineage: Bacteria; Bacillati; Bacillota; Bacilli; Caryophanales; Bacillaceae
Description: bacterial SSU rRNA
Rfam family: Bacterial small subunit ribosomal RNA
Source: RNAcentral